Pelobates cultripes (western spadefoot toad) is the source of this 985-nucleotide non-coding RNA. The record is from the annotation of a GenBank genome assembly. NCBI's taxonomy places the organism in Eukaryota, Metazoa, Chordata, Amphibia, Anura, Pelobatidae.
GGGAGAUAGAGUAAGGGAGAUUAACCCCAUAUGCCAGCGAAGAAAAGUGAUGUGUGACAUACUGUAAUGAGCACUCAGCUGAUAAUUGUCAUACCAACAGUAAUAUAAGUCAACAACAAUCAAAGCAAAUAAAACCAAACAUUAAUAAACGAGAGGCGUUUUGCUUGUUGUAGGUAUAUGCACAGGUGGGGGUGUUCAGACAACAGCAGUGGAUGCUGGGUUUUCCUGGCUGGCGUCCGGCAUGAACAGACAAACCCUGGCAGGAUCCCAGUCUGUAUGCCGCAAGGGUGCUCCUGACUGCUGUUGUUCUCCGGUGCACGUAGACAGCCCCAGUAUCUGCAGAGUUCGGCCACUUCCGAGGCAUCAGUAAUUUUUAAAGUCCCAGUAUCGCGGGAACCCGGCAGACUCCUGGGAGAGCCCCAUUUGUAUGGUAUCCGGUGCUCUAUUAGCUCAGCAGUUAAGGGUCGCAUGGACCUCCGCCAGUCCAUUGUGGCUUUGGACAGGUCUGGGUAGAAGGCUAGUGAAUGUUCCUCGAAGCGGGAAGGAUACUUGUGACAAACCGUUGAUGUCCUCUUUAAACUUAUUAAUGUCAGCAGCUAUAUUGCGUCGGAGCUCAGCUAAAAGAGUCUUUAAAGUACCUUCUCUCACCGGUGGAUCGCCAGAUUUUAUUAGAGGUAAGUCUACUUUGCAGGUGUUUCCUGCUCCCGUAUGUCGACAAGGGCUGACUCAUUGGACGACCUGGAGGGCCCGCCAGAGAGAGGCGCCAUGUCAGGCGUCAUGGGAUUCAUCGGUCUCCAUAAAAGAUUGCCAAUAUCGGUGGUUGCCAAUAUCUGCCCUAUAUUGCUUGUUGUUGCAUCCUAUCAUAUGAGGUAGGGAAUGCUAACACUUUGGGGGAAGUAUCGCUGGAAAAUCAGAUAGUAGUGUUAGAUAUUUCUCCUGCUGCUUCGGAGCACCAUCAAAACACAUCCAGUCAGUAUGGCUUAAC